UCGUGAGACAGUUUGGUCCCUAUCUGCCGUGGGCGUUGGAAGUUUGAGAGGACCUGCUCCUAGUACGAGAGGACCGGAGUGGACGUACCUCUGGUGUACCGGUUAUGACGCCAGUCGUAUUGCCGGGUAGCUAAGUACGGACGAGAUAACCGCUGAAAGCAUCUAAGCGGGAAACUCACCCCAAGAUAAGACUUCCCGGGGGUUAAACCCCCCUAAAGGUUCGUCGAAGACCACGACGUUGAUAGGUCGGGUGUGGAAGCGCAGUAAUGCGUUGAGCUAACCGAUACUAAUUAACCGUGCGGCUUGAUCCUAUAACCUUGAGCA
This 324-nucleotide ribosomal RNA is filed under the name Nitrosomonadales bacterium. RNAcentral describes it as "partial 23S ribosomal RNA". It matches the Rfam family "Bacterial large subunit ribosomal RNA", at positions 2619 to 2925 of the family's 2925-position model. Lineage: Bacteria; Pseudomonadati; Pseudomonadota; Betaproteobacteria; Nitrosomonadales. The record is from RNAcentral.